This 533-nucleotide small RNA is filed under the name Histoplasma ohiense. RNAcentral describes it as "hypothetical lncRNA". The record is from RNAcentral. Lineage: Eukaryota; Fungi; Ascomycota; Eurotiomycetes; Onygenales; Ajellomycetaceae.
GCCAAUGUAUAGUGUUCUGUUCUGCCUCAUAAAGCUCCCGACGCCGCCCAUGUCAUCUCGGUAAUCACUGUGUUUUUCACGGCCGAAACAGUCCACAUUUGGAUUGAACAGGUCAUGCAAGCCGGGUAGACGAUGUAGGUAGUCACAUUCAUGGCCCUUGGGGCACAGGCCGCGUGCAAAGAAGAGGCAAAAGUAUGAACCACGAACUUUGUCCGCGCGCGUGUAGCCGCUGUCACGGGCUAUGUUACAGCGUGAAGGAGCAGGUUGUUGUGAGAGGUAUUUAUCUUCGCGAUCGCCACCAGACCAUUUAUUGUACCAGAUGUUGAAUAUCGUGCCUGUUUGGGGUGGAGGCUCGGAUUUUACUGUUGCUGGAUCGACUUGUGGCCGGGCUGGUCUUCGCUUUCGGCGGAUUAUCUUCUUUGUUUUCUUUUCAGGGUCUGCUACGUCAGUAGAGCUUGUCGCGAGUGAGGUGUCGGCGCCAGUUGAGACGGCGAGAUCCAUGGAGGGAGUUGAGGCUUCUUGUAUUCUAGUGU